Molecule: small RNA, 178 nt
Filed under: Chelonoidis abingdonii (Abingdon island giant tortoise)
Lineage: Eukaryota; Metazoa; Chordata; Testudines; Testudinidae
Description: TUC338 (ENSCABG00000012618.1)
Source: RNAcentral
UUGACAGCACUAGUAAUACAGCCCUCUCUUUGUGCCCAGAUCAGGUACUAUGUGGCACUGCCACAACCAGUGCAAGCUUCCUCCACGCUACCUCCCAAAUGUACCUUAAUCUGACCUGAAGGAACCAUCUCUAGGGAUGAGGAAAGUGCAAUCUCUGUCCUUUAAAUCCUUAACCUCU